UGAAGCCAGCUUGCUGGCUGGAUUAGUGGCGAACGGGUGAGUACACGUGAGUAACCUGCCCUUGACUCUGGGAUAAGCCUGGGAAACUGGGUCUAAUACCGGAUAUGACCUUCCAUCGCAUGGUGGUUGGUGGAAAGCUUUUGUGGUUUUGGAUGGACUCGCGGCCUAUCAGCUUGUUGGUGGGGUAAUGGCCUACCAAGGCGACGACGGGUAGCCGGCCUGAGAGGGUGACCGGCCACACUGGGACUGAGACACGGCCCAGACUCCUACGGGAGGCAGCAGUGGGGAAUAUUGCACAAUGGGCGCAAGCCUGAUGCAGCGACGCCGCGUGAGGGAUGACGGCCUUCGGGUUGUAAACCUCUUUCAGUAGGGAAGAAGCCAAAGUGACAGUACCUGCAGAAAAAACGC
Molecule: ribosomal RNA, 408 nt
Filed under: bacterium LFBA5C
Lineage: Bacteria
Description: bacterial SSU rRNA
Rfam family: Bacterial small subunit ribosomal RNA
Source: RNAcentral